Molecule: ribosomal RNA, 553 nt
Filed under: uncultured crenarchaeote
Lineage: Archaea; Thermoproteati; Thermoproteota
Description: bacterial SSU rRNA
Rfam family: Archaeal small subunit ribosomal RNA
Source: RNAcentral
AUGGGGUGCAGCAGGCGAGAAAACUUUGCAAUGUGCGAAAGCACGACAAGGUUAAUCCGAGUGAUUCCUGCUAAAGGAAUCUUUUGUUAGUCAUAAAACCACUAUUGAAUAAGGGGUGGGCAAGUUCUGGUGUCAGCCGCCGCGGUAAAACCAGCACCUCAAGUGGUCAGGAUGNUUAUUGGGCCUAAAGCAUCCGUAGCCGGCUCUGUUAGUUUUCGGUUAAAUCCAUAUGCUCAACAUAUGGGCCGCCGGGAAUACUACAAAGCUAGGGAGUGGGAGAGGUAGACGGUACUCCGUAGGAAGGGGUAAAAUCCUUUGAUCUAUGGAUGACCACCAGUGGCGAAGGCGGUCUACCAGAACACGUUCGACGGUGAGGGAUGAAAGCUGGGGGAGCAAACCGGAUUAGAUACCCGGGUAGUCCCAGCUGUAAACUAUGCAAACUCAGUGAUGCAUUGGCUUGUGGCCAGUGCAGUGCCGCAGAGAAGUCGUUAAGUUUGCCGCCUGGGAAGUACGUACGCAAGUAUGAAACUUAAAGGAAUUGGCGGGGGAGCAC